AUACAAGGUAUACAACUAUUAAUACUGAAGAUAUAAAAGUGAGAAUGAAUUUCAAGUGUUGUGCUAUUGUGCAUGGGUAACCAGCAAAAUAAAUAAAUAAAUAAAUCUGAAAUAAGAUAAAGUAUGGUAGACUACACCACUCCUGCGCUGAUUAGGGUGAAGUUUGCGCUGGAAAAAGUUUAUGUUACGUCGGCUAUAUGCCGUGAGAUAUGCCUUUUGUAUUUGGGGAUUAUUUUAUUUAUUUAUUUUUAUGUUUCUCAAUUUAAAGGAGUGAAACAAAUGAAAGAUUAAAUCUGUAGAUGAACGAAUGAUGGAAAAAAAAUCUUGCCAGUAUAGAGAGAUUAAAUAAUUCUUAAAAGCGGUAAAGAGAUUGAGAAGAAACUUAUAUAUAAGGUUACCCACUAAUUGAUAAACUUUGAAAGACGAGGAUGGGUUUGGAGCAACAUAAGUGAUAUGCAACAAAGACUAAAGCCAAGCAAAGAUGUAUUCUUUACAUGAUGCAAGUAAGUGAUUCUGAUUUAAGAAAUCCAAGUUGAAAGUACCUUAAUGGGUUGGGUUCUAACUAAAACUAGAUUCAACUCCUUAUAAGUGUAAACAGGUAAGUAACGGAGCUAUGCAAAUAAUUUUUUUUUGGGGAUGCUCUAAUGCAAAAGGUAAUACGGUUUCGGGGAUGAAACCUUACUAAGGGGGGUGGAUUUAUAACAUCCCAAUAUUCCUAUGGAGUUUAAAAAUAUAUCUUUAUAUAUAAGUGAAAGACUUAUAAAUAAAGAGCUUAAUAUGGUAAAAUCGUAUCGAAUGAAGUUUAUAAAUAAUUUUAAUGAGGGUUGGAGUAUUGGAGAAAAGUACUUGAUAAAUUAUUUAUCCAAUAUUUAACUCUAGACCAAAUAACCAAGAGUUUAUUAGAUGACUUGUAAGUAGAGGCUAUAUGCAGCUAUUCUUAUAAACUAUGAGGUGAUAAUCAAAAUUGUGCAAGAGUGACUAUAAUCUGACUAAAGGGGGAUAUUUUUGAAACUUGUAAAACAUCAAAAUAAAAAGGAGGUGGGGCUGCAUAACCAAGAGGAGGUCUGGGAUUGUGUCGUUCUCUCGUGAUCGGCGUUGAUUGGGACGAAAUUGAGAAGAUGAAAAACCUGGUUCUAUCAUCAUUCUAUGAUUCCUAAUCCUUUUGGGACUUAAUAAAGAUAUAUGGUGCAAAUCAAGACUGCAAGGUAUUGUUUGGCCAAGGUGAGUGAACACUCUAUAACCCUGAUAUAUAUGCUCUGUAUAUUUUAUAAUAAAGUCUGAUUAUGAUUUGAAAGUUAUGUGAAUCUUAAUGUCUAGCUAAUGUAAUGAAAUAAGUGUUGUUGUGAUUAAGUUGGUGAAGAUGCAAUCAGUUUGGUUGAAUAUUAGUUGAUUAUCUACAGUGCAUGUUUAUGGUUCGAGGGUUGUUUCAAGUACUAAACAGUUUUGUUUUUAUACAAAGUUAAGUUUCAAUAUUCCUGACACAUUUUUCUAAGUGCUACAAAAGGUUUUAAGUUAAACGGGCUUAGUUAAAAGGUCAUAAUAAGUUCGUAAAACCGAUUUACAGGUUCUGUCUAAUCCAGAUCAGCCUACUUGCAGAGGUCGUUUCAGGCCUUGACCAUUUUAUUUUGGCAUGAUUUUUGGUCAGAGGUUAGCUGACAUCAUAAGUGAUUCUAUGUAAUUUUUGUAAAUUUUUCUAAAAUUGUUUGAGGCGGGUUUGUGGUGUUUUAUCAAGAAAAUAUGACAACAAUGUGUUUAAUAAUGUUGUAAUGGAUCAAAGGAGUAUUCAUGACUAACCAAAUGAUAACGGGUUAAAAGGAUGGAUAAUUAACCUUAUAGUUUUAGUUAGUGAGUUAUGCUGAGUAUUAUGAUCCUUAAAUUAUAACAAGAUGUAAUAAACAUAAGUUGGGAUUGACUGAAAUGUACAACAAGGUGAAUAUUAGACUUUUAACCUACUGACACUUUAUGAACGAAUUGUGUGAUUCUAAGGUGUUUGGGUUAUGCCCAAAAGAAUGGUUACAUGUUGCCACUAAUCUUCACGAUGACGAGGGUCGAGGUUGGACGUGUUAACAGGUCGCACAUGGUUGAACCACUAGUCAGCAUUUUAUUGAUGCGUUUAAGCAGGUUUCUUGAAUCUAUACUUAUCGGUUUAUGCUAAUAUGAAGACAUAUGUAUUUUCAGGCGUGAAACUAGAAUCUGUAACUUACGCAAAUUCCAACUUAGCCUUCUGUGGAGGCCAGGGUUUUUUUUACGCCCUCGUUUAUCUGUGCUAUUUUGAUUUCAGGUGUUUUGAGUUGGAAAAUCCGUGGCUCGGAGCGCAUUUAUAAUGCCUUUUGGGCUUUAAAACUUCUCCUUGUCUGUUAUAAUUACAUUUGUUAACGAGUCAUCACUUAGCUAUGGCUAAUCUUUUGUGGUGAACCCGUGUAGGUCCAGCUGAUGUGAUUGAUGACUGAAGAGAGCAAGUCAUGUGGACUAACGAGGCCACCCUAGGUCUUUAUGAUAUCGAAUGGAAGAGUGAUUACUCUAGAUUCCGAGGAUUCCGGAUUAUGUGAUUGAAAGCCGAUGUGAUCAAGUCCAGGGAGUGGGUCACUGACGUUUAAGAUCGCAUGGUUUAAUGUGUAUCAUUGUUAAAUUUCUCUUCGGUUCAUAUUUUUAAAGGUUGUGAAUUAGAGUUUAACUGAGUAAAUUGUUAGCUAAAAGGUCUUGUGUCAAUGGUGCAUUGAGUCAUGUGUAUUUUGUUGAGUGUCUUGAUUGCUAAACAGGUUCAUUACCAUAACGAGUACCUUUAUUUC
Long non-coding RNA from Helianthus annuus (common sunflower), 2789 nucleotides. RefSeq lists it as uncharacterized. NCBI's taxonomy places the organism in Eukaryota, Viridiplantae, Streptophyta, Magnoliopsida, Asterales, Asteraceae. The transcript is spliced from 2 exons. The record is from RefSeq and is a predicted model, not a curated record.